Molecule: ribosomal RNA, 508 nt
Filed under: uncultured bacterium
Lineage: Bacteria
Description: partial 16S ribosomal RNA
Rfam family: Bacterial small subunit ribosomal RNA
Source: RNAcentral
GACGAACGCUGGCGGCGUGCCUAAUACAUGCAAGUCGAACGCUUCUUUCCUCCCGAGUGCUUGCACUCAAUUGGAAAGAGGAGUGGCGGACGGGUGAGUAACACGUGGGUAACCUACCCAUCAGAGGGGGAUAACACUUGGAAACAGGUGCUAAUACCGCAUAACAGUUUAUGCCGCAUGGCAUAAGAGUGAAAGGCGCUUUCGGGUGUCGCUGAUGGAUGGACCCGCGGUGCAUUAGCUAGUUGGUGAGGUAACGGCUCACCAAGGCCACGAUGCAUAGCCGACCUGAGAGGGUGAUCGGCCACACUGGGACUGAGACACGGCCCAGACUCCUACGGGAGGCAGCAGUAGGGAAUCUUCGGCAAUGGACGAAAGUCUGACCGAGCAACGCCGCGUGAGUGAAGAAGGUUUUCGGAUCGUAAAACUCUGUUGUUAGAGAAGAACAAGGACGUUAGUGACUGAACGUCCCCUGACGGUAUCUAACCAGAAAGCCACGGCUAACUACGUG